Pipistrellus kuhlii (Kuhl's pipistrelle) is the source of this 1122-nucleotide RNA transcript. It is a transcript of the gene named procathepsin L-like, with no coding region annotated. The record is from RefSeq and is a predicted model, not a curated record. The transcript has a single exon. NCBI's taxonomy places the organism in Eukaryota, Metazoa, Chordata, Mammalia, Chiroptera, Vespertilionidae.
AUGAAUCCUUCAUUCUUCUUGAUUGCCCUUUACUUAGGAAUAGCUUCAGCUGCUCCAAAACUUGAUGGAAGUUUAGAGGCAUGCUGGCACCGGUGGAAGGCAACGCACAGAAAACUAUAUGGCUCGAAUGGAGAAGGAUGGAGGAGAUCAGUGAGGGAGAAGGAUAUGAAAAUGAUCGACCUGCACAACCAAGAAUACAACCUAGGGAGACAGACCUUCACCUUGGCAAUGAAUGCUUUUGGUGACAUGACCAAUGAAGAAUUCACGCAGGUGAUGAAUAGCCAUCAGAACCUGAAGCACAAGAGAAGGGAAGUGUUUUGGGAAUCUUACGCUGCUGAAAUCCCCCCAGCCGUGAAUUGGAGGGAAGAAGGCUAUGUAACCCCCGUGAAGAACCAGGGUCACUGUGGUUCUUGUUGGGCAUUUAGUGCAACUGGUGCCCUUGAAGGACAGAUGUUCGGGAAAACUGGCAAACUUAUCUCACUGAGUGAGCAGAACCUUGUGGACUGCUCUCAAGCUCAAGGCAAUGAGGGCUGCAAUGAUGGCCUACUGGAUAAUACCUUCCAGUAUGUGAAGUCCAACGAAGGCCUGGACUCAGAAGAGUCCUAACCAUAUCAAGCAAAGGAUGGACCCUGCAAAUACAGGCCCGAGGAUUCUGUGGCCAAUGUCACUGGCUCCGUGGACAUCCCUGAGCAGGAGAGUGCCCUCAUGAAGGCAGUGGCAACUGCGGGGCCCAUCUCUGUUGCUAUAGAUGCAAGCCAUCUUAGCUUCCAGUUCUAUGAAGAUGGCAUUUAUUAAGAAUGGCACUGCAGCAGCGUGGAUCUAAGUCAUGGCAUUCUGGUGGUUGGCUAUGGCUGUGAAGGAGAAGACUCAAGGAACAAUAAAUAUUGGAUUGUCAAGAACAGCUGGGGUGAAGCUUGGGGCAAAAAGGGCUACAUAAAGAUGGCCAAAGACCGUAACAACUACUGUGGAAUCGCCACCGCGGCCAUCUAUCCUACUGUGUGAGAUGAUGGCGAUAAAGAAAGCACUGAUUGAGAACAGGAUAUCCAGAGAAGGCAUUUCUAUAUUAAAACUGACCACAUUUUACUUAAUGGGAUACAAUACUUGAAUCUUGAAGAUCCAAAC